GCCGGUCCGCGAGAAUACUUUCCAAACGUAACCGGUCCGUGGUGUAAAAAAGGUUGGAGACCCCUGAUUUAGAGAUACGCUAAUGUAGA
Sinocyclocheilus grahami is the source of this 89-nucleotide long non-coding RNA. RefSeq lists it as uncharacterized. The record is from RefSeq and is a predicted model, not a curated record. Lineage: Eukaryota; Metazoa; Chordata; Actinopteri; Cypriniformes; Cyprinidae. The transcript is spliced from 3 exons.